CAUAAUUAUUUGUAAGGAUUCUAAAACUUUAUAUUAAGUGUGAUCAAAUUAAACCGUUAGACCUUUUUGAACUUUGACAUAAUUAUUUUGAAAUUUUGCAGCUUCCAAACCGUGACACUCUUUCAGAUUACAUCUUCAGCGAUCGGUUUCGUGAUUGGGAGCUUGCGAAUGAACUUAAUCCAACCAAAGAAAAGGAUCUUAUUGGAUGUCGGAAGAGUUUCAGAGUUUCAGAAAUAUAUCAGCGUUGCGUCUAUCGCAGAUUUCCUUUUGUGAUUAAUAGCAGACCUACGUUCUGCUUAACUAUAGAAUCUCAACUAUAUGAACCGAACUCUGAAGACGAGAAGGUUUCAACUGAUUAUCAUAUCGAGCGUCUCUUACACACAUAUCCUGAAGAGUAUUUUAGACAUUCAGAUCCAGUUCAAUAUUAUGCAGCAGUCCACAAUCGCCGGCAUUUAGUGAAUCCUUACGAAAAUGGAAUUGCUCUUAAAGGAGGAAAAUCGUACAUUUUUUUUGUGUCUAUGAAUGAAGUGGUAAGACUACCCUUUCCUUACACCACAAACUGUACAGAUUACUUAAAACUGUGGAGACAAAACAAUGGAACUGGACCUUUAAAUCAGAAAGUAAAUGUGGUAUUUAUUAAAAACUUCUAAAAUAAUUUUGAUCAUUAUUUCGAU
Parasteatoda tepidariorum (common house spider) is the source of this 674-nucleotide non-coding RNA. NCBI's taxonomy places the organism in Eukaryota, Metazoa, Arthropoda, Arachnida, Araneae, Theridiidae. The record is from RefSeq and is a predicted model, not a curated record.